GACGUAGGGGGCGAGCGUUGUCCGGAUUUAUUGGGCGUAAAGCGUGCGUAGGCGGCUGCGCAAGUCGGGUGUGAAACCCCGGGGCUCAACCCCGGAACUGCAUCCGAUAAUGCGUGGCUAGAGGUAGGUAGGGGAGAUCGGAAUUCCUGGUGUAGCGGUGAAAUGCGCAGAUAUCAGGAGGAACACCGGUGGCGAAGGCGGAUCUCUGGGCCUUACCUGACGCUCAGGCACGAAAGCUAGGGGAGCGAACAGG
This 253-nucleotide ribosomal RNA is filed under the name uncultured bacterium. RNAcentral's name for it is "partial 16S ribosomal RNA". It matches the Rfam family "Bacterial small subunit ribosomal RNA", at positions 524 to 776 of the family's 1533-position model. The record is from RNAcentral.